AGCCUGAUGGAAAUAAAGGUUUACUUGAGAAAGUCAUUAAGUCUUUUAAUUUGCAUGUGCCACCUCGUGAACUUCAGAAUAAGGAUCCAAAGAUUGUGCUUCAAGCUGUUGUGAGCCGCUGGCUUCCCUUGUCUGAUGCAAUUUUGUCAAUGGUUGUGAAGUGCAUACCAGAUCCAAUUGCUGCCCAGUCUUUUCGAAUUUCACGUUUGCUUCCCAAGAGAGAGGUUUUGUAUGAUGCAGUUGACUCAAGUAUUAUUGCAGAGGCAGAUCUUGUAAGAAAGUCAGUUGAGAUUUGUGAUUCCAGCCCUGAAGCACCUUCUGUUGCCUUUGUAUCCAAAAUGUUUGCAGUACCAACAAAGAUGCUACCUCAAAGGGGACCAAAUGGAGAGAUUUUGAAUAAUUACAGUGAUGAAAAUGGAAGCAGUGAGUCAGAUGAGUGCUUCCUUGCAUUUGCAAGAAUUUUUAGUGGGGUUCUUUAUUCACAACAAAGAGUCUUUGUGCUUUCAGCAUUAUAUGACCCGUUGAGGGGAGAGUCAAUGCAGAAGCAUGUGCAGGAUGCUGAGUUGCACUCAUUGUAUCUCAUGAUGGGUCAAGGCUUGAAACCAGUAGCCUCUGCAAAAGCAGGGGAUGUUGUGGCAAUCCGAGGCCUCGGCCAACAUAUUUUAAAAAGUGCAACUCUUUCAUCCACAAGAAACUGUUGGCCUUUCUCUAGCAUGGCAUUCCAGGUUUCCCCAACUUUAAGAGUUGCAAUUGAGCCAUCUGAUCCAGCAGAUAUGACUGCCCUGAUGAAGGGUCUGAGGCUUCUGAACCGGGCAGAUCCAUUUGUUGAAGUAACUGUUUCUUCUAGAGGGGAGCAUGUGCUUGCUGCUGCUGGAGAAGUUCACCUAGAAAGGUGCAUCAAGGAUUUGAAGGAGAGAUUUGCAAAGGUGAGCCUGGAAGUCUCUCCACCUCUUGUGUCCUAUAAGGAGACCAUCGAGGGGCACACUUCCAAUGCUUUAGAUAAUCUGAAAUCACUGAGAAGGGGCUCAGAUUAUGUGGAGAAGACAACACCAAAUGGAAGGUGUGAUGUUCGUGUGCAAGUCAUGAGACUUCCACCUGCACUAACCAAGGUGCUGGAUGAAAGUGCCGAUAUUCUUGGAGAUAUCAUUGGCGGGAAGCUGGGGCAGACAAAUAGAGAUGUGCAAAAGCAGGGUUCAAGCAUUUUACAAGAUGAGAGUUCAGUUGAAGGAAUCAAAAAACACAUAAUGGAUGCUGUCGAAAGU
This 1262-nucleotide unclassified non-coding RNA is filed under the name Hevea brasiliensis (rubber tree). The record is from RNAcentral. Lineage: Eukaryota; Viridiplantae; Streptophyta; Magnoliopsida; Malpighiales; Euphorbiaceae.